Long non-coding RNA from Telopea speciosissima, 199 nucleotides. RefSeq lists it as uncharacterized. NCBI's taxonomy places the organism in Eukaryota, Viridiplantae, Streptophyta, Magnoliopsida, Proteales, Proteaceae. The transcript has 4 exons. The record is from RefSeq and is a predicted model, not a curated record.
GCUUUGAAUCUCAUAUGAUGAAGAUUGUCUACACAAGAAGUAAGAAUGAUUGUUGUGUGUAUUAUAAAGUGUCAUGUGAUAAUUCUAUUAUUCUUUUGAUGCUUAAUGUUGAUGACAUGCUCAUUGCUGCCAAGAAUAAACAUGAAGUUAUCCCUCUAAAGUCUUUGUUGAGUGCUGAAUUUGAUAUGAAAGAUUUUGG